Molecule: ribosomal RNA, 1535 nt
Filed under: Bordetella pertussis
Lineage: Bacteria; Pseudomonadati; Pseudomonadota; Betaproteobacteria; Burkholderiales; Alcaligenaceae
Description: bacterial SSU rRNA
Rfam family: Bacterial small subunit ribosomal RNA
Source: RNAcentral
AGAUUGAACUGAAGAGUUUGAUCCUGGCUCAGAUUGAACGCUGGCGGGAUGCUUUACACAUGCAAGUCGGACGGCAGCACGGGCUUCGGCCUGGUGGCGAGUGGCGAACGGGUGAGUAAUGUAUCGGAACGUGCCCAGUAGCGGGGGAUAACUACGCGAAAGCGUGGCUAAUACCGCAUACGCCCUACGGGGGAAAGCGGGGGACCUUCGGGCCUCGCACUAUUGGAGCGGCCGAUAUCGGAUUAGCUAGUUGGUGGGGUAACGGCCUACCAAGGCGACGAUCCGUAGCUGGUUUGAGAGGACGACCAGCCACACUGGGACUGAGACACGGCCCAGACUCCUACGGGAGGCAGCAGUGGGGAAUUUUGGACAAUGGGGGCAACCCUGAUCCAGCCAUCCCGCGUGUGCGAUGAAGGCCUUCGGGUUGUAAAGCACUUUUGGCAGGAAAGAAACGGCACGGGCUAAUAUCCUGUGCAACUGACGGUACCUGCAGAAUAAGCACCGGCUAACUACGUGCCAGCAGCCGCGGUAAUACGUAGGGUGCAAGCGUUAAUCGGAAUUACUGGGCGUAAAGCGUGCGCAGGCGGUUCGGAAAGAAAGAUGUGAAAUCCCAGGGCUUAACCUUGGAACUGCAUUUUUAACUACCGGGCUAGAGUGUGUCAGAGGGAGGUGGAAUUCCGCGUGUAGCAGUGAAAUGCGUAGAUAUGCGGAGGAACACCGAUGGCGAAGGCAGCCUCCUGGAUAACACUGACGCUCAUGCACGAAAGUGUGGGGAGCAAACAGGAUUAGAUACCCUGGUAGUCCACGCCCUAAACGAUGUCAACUAGCUGUUGGGGCCUUCGGGCCUUGGUAGCGCAGCUAACGCGUGAAGUUGACCGCCUGGGGAGUACGGUCGCAAGAUUAAAACUCAAAGGAAUUGACGGGGACCCGCACAAGCGGUGGAUGAUGUGGAUUAAUUCGAUGCAACGCGAAAAACCUUACCUACCCUUGACAUGUCUGGAAUCCCGAAGAGAUUUGGGAGUGCUCGCAAGAGAACCGGAACACAGGUGCUGCAUGGCUGUCGUCAGCUCGUGUCGUGAGAUGUUGGGUUAAGUCCCGCAACGAGCGCAACCCUUGUCAUUAGUUGCUACGAAAGGGCACUCUAAUGAGACUGCCGGUGACAAACCGGAGGAAGGUGGGGAUGACGUCAAGUCCUCAUGGCCCUUAUGGGUAGGGCUUCACACGUCAUACAAUGGUCGGGACAGAGGGUUGCCAACCCGCGAGGGGGAGCCAAUCCCAGAAACCCGGUCGUAGUCCGGAUCGCAGUCUGCAACUCGACUGCGUGAAGUCGGAAUCGCUAGUAAUCGCGGAUCAGCAUGUCGCGGUGAAUACGUUCCCGGGUCUUGUACACACCGCCCGUCACACCAUGGGAGUGGGUUUUACCAGAAGUAGUUAGCCUAACCGCAAGGGGGGCGAUUACCACGGUAGGAUUCAUGACUGGGGUGAAGUCGUAACAAGGUAGCCGUAUCGGAAGGUGCGGCUGGAUCACCUCCUUU